AGAUUGAACGCUGGCGGCAUGCCUUACACAUGCAAGUCGAACGGCAGCACGGGAGCAAUCCUGGUGGCGAGUGGCGAACGGGUGAGUAAUACAUCGGAACGUGCCCAGUUGUGGGGGAUAGCCCGGCGAAAGCCGGAUUAAUACCGCAUACGACCUACGGGUGAAAGCGGGGGAUCGCAAGACCUCGCGCUAUUGGAGCGGCCGAUGUCGGAUUAGCUUGUUGGUAGGGUAAAAGCCUACCAAGGCUACGAUCCGUAGCUGGUCUGAGAGGACGACCAGCCACACUGGGACUGAGACACGGCCCAGACUCCUACGGGAGGCAGCAGUGGGGAAUUUGGACAAGUGGGCGAAAGCCUAGAUCCAGCCAUGCCGCGUGCGGGAAGAAGGCCUUCGGGUUAGUAAACCGUC
This 408-nucleotide ribosomal RNA is filed under the name uncultured soil bacterium. RNAcentral's name for it is "bacterial SSU rRNA". It matches the Rfam family "Bacterial small subunit ribosomal RNA", at positions 26 to 434 of the family's 1533-position model. The record is from RNAcentral.